GACGAACGCUGGCGGCGUGCCUAAUACAUGCAAGUUGAGCGAUGAAGAUUGGUGCUUGCACCAAUUUGAAGAGCAGCGAACGGGUGAGUAACGCGUGGGGAAUCUGCCUUUGAGCGGGGGACAACAUUUGGAAACGAAUGCUAAUACCGCAUAACAACUUUAAACAUAAGUUUUAAGUUUGAAAGAUGCAAUUGCAUCACUCAAAGAUGAUCCCGCGUUGUAUUAGCUAGUUGGUGAGGUAAAGGCUCACCAAGGCGAUGAUACAUAGCCGACCUGAGAGGGUGAUCGGCCACAUUGGGACUGAGACACGGCCCAAACUCCUACGGGAGGCAGCAGUAGGGAAUAUUCGGCAAUGGACGAAAGUCUGACCGAGCAACGCCGCGUGAGUGAAGAAGGUGUUCGGAUCGUAAAACUCUGUUGGUAGAGAAGAACGUUGGUGAGAGUGGAAAGCUCAUCAAGUGACGGUAACUACCCAGAAAGGGACGGCUAACUACGUG
This 497-nucleotide ribosomal RNA is filed under the name uncultured bacterium. RNAcentral's name for it is "partial 16S ribosomal RNA". It matches the Rfam family "Bacterial small subunit ribosomal RNA", at positions 28 to 507 of the family's 1533-position model. The record is from RNAcentral.